AGAGUUUGAUCCUGGCUCAGGAUGAACGCUGGCGGCGUGCUUACCCAUGCAAGUCGAACGAAGCACUUUGAUGGAUUCUUCGGAAGAAAGAGAAGUGACUGAGUGGCGGACGGGUGAGUAACGCGUGGGUAACCUGCCUUAUACAGGGGGAUAACAGUUAGAAAUGACUGCUAAUACCGCAUAAGCGCACAGGACUGCAUGGUCUUGUGUGAAAAACUCCGGUGGUAUAAGAUGGACCCGCGUCUGAUUAGCUAGUUGGUGGGGUAACGGCCUACCAAGGCGACGAUCAGUAGCCGACCUGAGAGGGUGACCGGCCACAUUGGGACUGAGACACGGCCCAAACUCCUACGGGAGGCAGCAGUGGGGAAUAUUGCACAAUGGGGGAAACCCUGAUGCAGCAACGCCGCGUGAUUGAAGAAGUAUUUCGGUAUGUAAAGAUCUAUCAGCAAGGAAGAAAAUGACCGGUACUGGUUGACUAAGAAGCCCCGGGUAACUACGUGCCAGCAGCCGCGGU
RNAcentral lists this ribosomal RNA (514 nucleotides) under uncultured bacterium. Its description in RNAcentral is "bacterial SSU rRNA". It matches the Rfam family "Bacterial small subunit ribosomal RNA", at positions 8 to 521 of the family's 1533-position model. The record is from RNAcentral.